CUUCAGCGAACCCAGCCACAGCGGCCGGUCCGCUGCGCGCUCCUGGCCGUAGGUGGCGAGCAGCGCCUGCGCCUC
This 75-nucleotide antisense RNA is filed under the name Saccharothrix sp. ST-888. RNAcentral's name for it is "ASpks TB sRNA". It matches the Rfam family "ASpks TB sRNA". The record is from Rfam by way of RNAcentral. Lineage: Bacteria; Bacillati; Actinomycetota; Actinomycetes; Pseudonocardiales; Pseudonocardiaceae.